UACGAAGGGGGCUAGCGUUGCUCGGAAUCACUGGGCGUAAAGCGCACGUAGGCGGAUUGUUAAGUCAGGGGUGAAAUCCUGGAGCUCAACUCCAGAACUGCCUUUGAUACUGGCGAUCUCGAGUCCGGGAGAGGUGAGUGGAACUGCGAGUGUAGAGGUGAAAUUCGUAGAUAUUCGCAAGAACACCCGUGGCGAAGGCGGCUUUCUGGAACGCAACUGACGCUGAGACGCGAAAGCGUGGGGAGCAAACAGG
RNAcentral lists this ribosomal RNA (253 nucleotides) under uncultured bacterium. RNAcentral's name for it is "partial 16S ribosomal RNA". It matches the Rfam family "Bacterial small subunit ribosomal RNA", at positions 524 to 776 of the family's 1533-position model. The record is from RNAcentral.